This 433-nucleotide ribosomal RNA is filed under the name uncultured bacterium. RNAcentral's name for it is "partial 16S ribosomal RNA". It matches the Rfam family "Bacterial small subunit ribosomal RNA", at positions 29 to 507 of the family's 1533-position model. The record is from RNAcentral.
AACGAACGCUGGCGGCAUGCCUAACACAUGCCAGUCGAACGAGACCUUCGGGUCUAGUGGCGCACGGGUGCGUAACGCGUGGGAACCUGCCCUUAGGUUCGGAAUAACUCCCCGAAAGGGGUGCUAAUACCGGAUAAUGUCUUCGGACCAAAGAUUUAUCGCCUUUGGAUGGGCCCGCGUUGGAUUAGCUAGUUGGUAGGGUAAAAGCCUACCAAGGCGACGAUCCAUAGCUGGUCUGAGAGGAUGAUCAGCCACACUGGGACUGCGACACGGCCCAGACUCCUACGGGAGGCAGCAGUGGGGAAUAUUGGACAAUGGGCGAAAGCCUGAUACAGCAAUGCCGCGUGAGUGAUGAAGGCCUUGGGGUUGUAAAGCUCUUUUACCCGGGAUGAUAAUGACAGUACCGGGAGAAUAAGCUCCGGCUAACUCCGUG